AUGGGCAUCAUGCUGGCUUCAUUUCUAGCUGCUUCCCAAGAGCAGGACAUUUUCUCCAUUUUCUCCUUUAACCUUCCAGUGCAUUUAAGUUUAAAGGCACAAGGGACCUGCCUGAGUACUUGGAGGGGAAACAGAAAGAAGCUAGCACAAGAAGACUGCAACCAUCUAGCAGUCUUUUCUUUCUCAUUAAGCCCUUUAAGGAAACAACAUUCUGGCUACUAAGAACAAGGCCAGGCUUUGGAAUUGGAUUAUGCUAGCAAAUUGCAAACUUUGAGUUUUCUAAAAGGCUGCAAGAGAACUAAAGAAUUGCCAUUGGAAAUUUUUUAACCCUCUGAUUGAUGUCAGAAUAACAAGCCUACAGAAUUAUCCUGAUUUCUUGCCUCUGAUAAACCAGCUCCCUAUUCUGUGCACAUUCCACAAUUACAUCCUGAAUGGACCUCUUCUCCCAUUUAGUUUCCUUAUCUUUUCUCUCUGUGUUGACCUGGCCUGUGUAAUAAAAGAACUUAAUGUUUAUUUUGUUGUUGUUGC
This 528-nucleotide long non-coding RNA is filed under the name Monodelphis domestica (gray short-tailed opossum). RNAcentral describes it as "lncRNA (ENSMODG00000045874.1)". Lineage: Eukaryota; Metazoa; Chordata; Mammalia; Didelphimorphia; Didelphidae. The record is from RNAcentral.